This 3386-nucleotide long non-coding RNA is filed under the name Suricata suricatta (meerkat). RNAcentral describes it as "lncRNA (ENSSSUG00005016589.1)". The record is from RNAcentral. Lineage: Eukaryota; Metazoa; Chordata; Mammalia; Carnivora; Herpestidae.
CCCCGCGCCGGAGCCGGAGGGGAUGCGGGCCCACGGGGACCCCCGCGCAGAAACUUACCCGACGGGGACACAGGAGGGCAGGAGAGCCCGAAGGACUGGCGAUGCCGACCCUGAGGCUGGCAUCCGUGACGCACCACAUCGGGUCAUCUGGGUAUCCGGGGUUUCCAGGGGUGUGUUCCUCUGGGUGCCUCUGCGCCUCUGGCAUCCAGCCACCCCAGGUCCUGGCUCCAGGAAACCGAGGCUGCCAUGGGUGCGGGGAGUGGACUGGGGAGGGGGUGAGGACGCACCUGCUAGGUACCUCUUGGUGCCUGGGCUGGGACACCCUACCCAUCCGAAGCGAAACAGACUGCACUUAUCAGAGUUCUCCCGGGAAACAGACCAUAGAGAAAGGGAAACAGCGAGAGAGAGACAGAGAUUUGGGCUGAUUUUACAGAAGCGGCUCCCAGGAUGGAGUGGAUAUGCAGUCCCGAGUCGGGAGGCGGGGCUGAGGUAGCCAGCAUUCCUUCCUCCCCGUCUUUUCUCCUAAGACUUUGAACUGAUUGGAUGAACCCCACUCACGCCGUGGAAGAUGAUCUGCUUUACUCAAGUCUACUGAUUUAAAUGUUAGUUGCAUCUAAAAAUAAUACCUUUGCUAGGCUGUCUCAGUCCAUAGAUCCUGCGACUCUUAAUCUUAGUGUUGUAAGUUCAAGCCCCACGUUAAGUGUAGAGAUUAAUACUUUUUUUAAUGCCUUCACAGCAACAUCUAUCUAGGCUGAUGUUUCAGCCAACAUGUGGGUGUCAUGGGCUGGCCAAGUUGACAUAAAUUAACGAUGAUGGGGUCCUAACAAGCACUAGGCUUUUUUCUUACCAGUAAGGGAUGCAAGGUUCAAAAGCUUACUUCUACUUGGGAUAUGUCACAGUACCUGCCAGACCAGGAACAGUCGCUCCCGAGGUCCUCAGAGAUGCUGGUGUCUCCUCUCAACUGUGCAAGUGUUAUUUCCCGGGGAAGCUGGCAUUUCCUCUAGUCAGCAGGGAGUUUCUGCUGUGACACUAUAGGACCGCUCUAGGGUGCCGUGUCUGUCCCUUCUGAUUCCUUUCUCCACAGUGAGCCGUGGCAUUUCUGGCAACUCUACUUUAUUUAAUGAAGCCUUGCCGGCUGUGAGUUACAACCAGGUUGAGAGACCCUGGUCAGGGUGUGAAGGCCUGUGUCAGAGAAGAGUCCCCUACAGUCACCUCUCCCUUUCCAUGCACCCCCCCCCCACGCCAUUCCAAGUGUCCCGUCUUCCCUCCCGCACUCUGAUGACGGCGGUGGCAGAGGACGUUCACCUUUUCCUCAAGAUCUGCUACGUUUCAACUGAGGCUCCCAGUCUGCGCUUGGGCUUUGUUGGCCGAAGGGCACGUGGGUUGCUCUGGGUUCUGCCAAAGUGCUUUCAGUGGGUAAUUAGCUGACUUGAGUCUGUUCUUUUGUGUCCGUGCGGUAAAGCUGCUCAACAGCGACCUAACCGCGGAGGUGAAAGUCCUGUACUCCGAGCACUGAUAGAACACCGAUGAAAGAAUUCAAGACGACACAAAAAAUGGAAAGACAUUCCGUGCACGUGGAGUGGAUGUACAAGUAUUGUUUAAAUGUCUAUACUGCCCAAGGCAAUUUACACACUUAAUGCAAUCCCUACCAAAUACCCACAGCAUUUUUCACAGAACUAGAACAAAGAAUCCUAAAGAUCCUAAAAGACUCUGAACAGCCAAAGCAAUCUUGAAAAAGCAAAGCAAAGCCGGUGGCCUCACAAUUCUGGACUUCAACUUACGUCAUGAAGCUGUAGUGAUCUAAACAAUAAGGCACUGGCAUGAAAUUGGACACAUCGAUCAAUAAAACAGAACAGAAAACCCAGAAUUAAGCCCACGACCCUAUGGUCAGUGAAUCUUCGACAACGUAGGAAUGGAUAGCCAGUGGGAAAAAGACUCCAUCUGCAAAAAGUGCUGUUGGCGAAAUUGGACCACUUUCGUACAGAAUACACAAAAAACAAAUUCAAGAUGGAUUAAAGACCUAAAUGUGAGACCUGAGACCAUAAAAGCCCUAGAGGAGAACACAGGCAGUAACACUUUAGACAUGAGCCAUAGCAAUAUCUUUCAAGAUACACCUCCUGAGGCAAGGGAACAAAAGCACAAAUAAACUAUUGGGACCUCAUCAAAAUAAAAACUUCACAGCAAAGGAAAUAAUCAACAGAACUUAGGCAUCCUAUGCAAUGGGAAAAGAUAUGUGCAAAUAACAUAUUUGGUAAAGCAUUAGUGUCCAAAAUAUAUAAAGAACUUGUACAAAUCAACACCCAAAUAAACAAAUAAUCCAAAUUAAAAAUGGACACAGGGCAACCGGCUGGCUCAGUCAGUGGAGCAUGCAACUCCUGAGCUCAGGGUUGUGAGUUCUAGCCCCAUGUUGGGUGUAGAGAUCACUGAAAAAUAAAAUCUUAAAAAAGGUUUUUUUUUUCCUUAAUAAAAAUGGGCAGAAGACAUAAACAGACAUUUUCCCAAAGAAGACAUACAGAUGACCACAGAGACACGAUAAGACGUUCACCAUCCCUCAUCACCAGGGAAACGCCAAUCAGACCUACAAUGAGCUAUCACCUCACACCUGUCGGAAUGGCUAAACUCAACAACACAAAAAGCAACAGGUGUUGGCGCUGCUGGUGGGAAUUCGAACUGGCGCAGCCGCUCUGGAAAAGGGCGGAGGCUCCUCAGGAAGUUAAAAAUAGAACCGCUGUAUGACCCAGCAGUUGCACUACUGAGUAUUUACCCAAAGAAUACGGGAGCACUAAUUCAAAGGGAUACGUACAUCGUGCUAUUUCUAGCAGCUUUAUCUACAACAGCCAAAUAUUGGAAGCAGCCCGUGUAUCCACUGAUUGAUGAAUGGAUAAAGGAGAUGUGGUAUAGGGGCGUUCGGGGGGCUCAGUGAGUUAAGUGUCCAGCUUCGGCUCAGGUCAUGAUCUCAUGGUUCGUGGGUUCGAGCCCCGCAUCAGGCUCUGUGCUGACCGCUCAGAGCCUAGGGCCUGUCUUCGGAUUCUGUGUCUCCCUCGCUCUCUGGCCCGCCCCUGCUCGCGCGUGCACACUGUCUCUCAAAAAUAAAUAAAAAACAUUAAAAAAAAAAGAUGUGGUAUAUAUGCACCAUGGAAUAUUACUCAGCCAUAAAAAAUAAUGAAAUCUUGCCAUUUGCAAUGACAAAGAUGAAUCUACAGUGUAUUACGCUGAGCAAAAUAGGUCAGAGAAAGACAAAUAGCAUAUGAUUUCACUCAUAUGUGGGAUUUAAGAAACAAAACAAGCAAAGGGAAAAGAAUAAGAAAGAGACAAACCAAGAAACAAACUCUUAAUUAUAGAGAAGAAACCAAUGGUUCCCAGAGGGGAGAGAGUGGGCGGAUGGG